AUUGAACGCUGGCGGCAGGCCUAACACAUGCAAGUCGAGCGGAUGAAGGGAGCUUGCUCCUGGAUUCAGCGGCGGACGGGUGAGUAAUGCCUAGGAAUCUGCCUGGUAGUGGGGGAUAACGUCCGGAAACGGGCGCUAAUACCGCAUACGUCCUGAGGGGGAAAGUGGGGGAUCUUCGGACCUCACGCUAUCAGAUGAGCCUAGGUCGGAUUAGCUAGUUGGUGGGGUAAAGGCCUACCAAGGCGACGAUCCGUAACUGGUCUGAGAGGAUGAUCAGUCACACUGGAACUGAGACACGGUCCAGACUCCUACGGGAGGCAGCAGUGGGGAAUAUUGGACAAUGGGCGAAAGCCUGAUCCAGCCAUGCCGCGUGUGUGAAGAAGGUCUUCGGAUUGUAAAGCACUUUAAGUUGGGAGGAAGGGCAGUAAGUUAAUACCUUGCUGUCUUGACGUUACCAACAGAAUAAGCACCGGCUAACUUCGUG
RNAcentral lists this ribosomal RNA (484 nucleotides) under uncultured bacterium. RNAcentral's name for it is "partial 16S ribosomal RNA". It matches the Rfam family "Bacterial small subunit ribosomal RNA", at positions 30 to 507 of the family's 1533-position model. The record is from RNAcentral.